UACGUAGGUGGCAAGCGUUAUCCGGAAUUAUUGGGCGUAAAGAGCGCGCAGGUGGUUAAUUAAGUCUGAUGUGAAAGCCCACGGCUUAACCGUGGAGGGUCAUUGGAAACUGGUUGACUUGAGUCCAGAAGAGGGAAGUGGAAUUCCAUGUGUAGCGGUGAAAUGCGUAGAGAUAUGGAGGAACACCAGUGGCGAAGGCGGCUUCCUGGUCUGCAACUGACACUGAGGCGCGAAAGCGUGGGGAGCAAACAGG
RNAcentral lists this ribosomal RNA (253 nucleotides) under uncultured bacterium. RNAcentral's name for it is "partial 16S ribosomal RNA". It matches the Rfam family "Bacterial small subunit ribosomal RNA", at positions 524 to 776 of the family's 1533-position model. The record is from RNAcentral.